GAUGAACGCUGGCGGCGUGCCUAAUACAUGCAAGUCGAGCGAACAGACGAGGAGCUUGCUCCUCUGACGUUAGCGGCGGACGGGUGAGUAACACGUGGAUAACCUACCUAUAAGACUGGGAUAACUUCGGGAAACCGGAGCUAAUACCGGAUAAUAUAUUGAACCGCAUGGUUCCAUAGUGAAAGACGGUUUUGCUGUCACUUAUAGAUGGAUCCGCGCCGCAUUAGCUAGUUGGUAAGGUAACGGCUUACCAAGGCGACGAUGCGUAGCCGACCUGAGAGGGUGAUCAGCCACACUGGAACUGAGACACGGUCCAGACUCCUACGGGAGGCAGCAGUAGGGAAUCUUCCGCAAUGGGCGAAAGCCUGACGGGGCAACGCCGCGUGAGUGAUGAAGGUCUUCGGAUCGUAAAACUCUGUUAUUAGGGAAGAACAAAUGUGUAAGUAACUAUGCACGUCUUGACGGUACCUAAUCAGAAAGCCACGGCUAACUACGUG
Molecule: ribosomal RNA, 497 nt
Filed under: uncultured bacterium
Lineage: Bacteria
Description: partial 16S ribosomal RNA
Rfam family: Bacterial small subunit ribosomal RNA
Source: RNAcentral